Nomascus leucogenys (northern white-cheeked gibbon) is the source of this 1283-nucleotide long non-coding RNA. RefSeq lists it as uncharacterized. The record is from RefSeq and is a predicted model, not a curated record. The transcript is spliced from 5 exons. Lineage: Eukaryota; Metazoa; Chordata; Mammalia; Primates; Hylobatidae.
CUUGACCGCAGCACAUCCAUUUUCCUUACAGUAUGUAGUACGCAUUCUACCUUUUUCUACAAUGAAUCCACUAGGCAGAAAUUCCUGUACAUGUCUUAUGAACAGAGAAUUUGAACCUCAAAGAGUGGCUUAAAGAGGUCAGGAGGCACCUUCAACACUUUUAUUGGAGAUCUCCUUGUCUAGAUCUUCGGAUUCUCACUCUGUCACCCGGGCUGCAGUGCAGUGGUGCGAUCUCAACUCACUGCAACCUCUACCUCCUGGGUUCAAGCAAUUCUCCUGCCUCAGCCUCUCAAGUAGCUGGAAUUACAGGAAUUACACACUAAUAGUGAAGAACAGGUGGCACCUGAAAUCAAGGAAAAUUUAUUUGUCCUCAAUGCAAAGAUGAACUAUAAAGAGCACUUUAUUGUGUUUGAAGACUGUAGGAAUGAUAAGUGAAAUGGUGAAGGAAGUGGAUAAACAAUGAUGUAAUGACUGAGCGUCAUCUUUCAACUGAAUAAGCCAGUGAGGAAAUUGGUAAAUUUGUCAAUUAUAUUUAAUUUUACAAUGUUUAAUUCUUUAUUAUUUUGAAGUGAUGUUUUUUAUUAUUAGGAAUGAUCAAUAGUAAUGCAUCCUCCAAAACUGUGGAAAGAUCAUAUUGUGCAAACUAGAGCAAAAAAUCACAUUCCUCUUGCAUGGGCAUGAAAUCUUUAUCAAAUGACAUCAGGCACUGAAGCAGCUAUCUGAUACCUUCCUCGCUUCCACCAAAUGGAAAGGUUAUUUUAGGAUUCUCUCUUUGUCUCUUAUGCUGCAAACAUAGUCACUCUCCUCAGUCUUCCUACUCACAAUAUCACUCCCUUCACAAAUAAAGGACAAAUACUUAUUCAUGGUUCCAUGAAAAGGAAUAACUACUAAGACCUUGACAUUCUUGAAAAAGCAUAUAUUUGUUGUUCUAAGUAAUGUUUAUGAUCAACGUUCUUGUGCAACCAGAUACGGUUUCUAACAGGAAGCUUAUAAAUUUUUCUUAUAAUUGCUGUCAAAACCGCAGUGAAGUGUACUACAAGUUUUGAUAAUAAAGAAUAAAGUCACAGUUCAAACUCGAUUAUAUUUUGGAAAUUCAUGUGCCUGUUACUAGAAGCAGUGGCCUUAAAUAUCUUCCCAUCCUGCCAAAUUUUUCACUUGCACUUUUUAUUAUUUAUGAAAUCAGUCUCUGCACAAUGUCAUGCAGACCUCUGCUGAUAAACUCUAAUUAAGAUUAAGACAAGCCUUUUGGAAAGGAUCCCAUCAUUAGCAAACAUGAUAAACAC